This 2848-nucleotide ribosomal RNA is filed under the name Rhipidosiphon lewmanomontiae. Its description in RNAcentral is "23S rRNA". Lineage: Eukaryota; Viridiplantae; Chlorophyta; Ulvophyceae; Bryopsidales. The record is from RNAcentral.
GUAUUUCUUAGCUAAAAUUUUUGCAAAUCUUCUACUUGAAACCUAUCAACCGGCUGAUCUUGCCGGAGUCUUUUUAGAGAAUAUUCAUCUUGAGGUGAGCUUCCCACUUAGAUGCUUUCAGCGGUACUCUUCUCCAUACAUAGCUACCCAGCGUUUCCUAUAGGUGUAAGAACUGGUACACCAGUGGUAUGUUCUUCCAAGUCCUCUCGUAUUAUGGAAAAAUUCUCUCAAUAUUCUAUCGCUAAUAGCAGAUAUGGACCAAACUGUCUCUUUUUUAAUUUUUAAAACUUCCGACGAAUUCGUCGGAAGAAGUUGAGCUCAGAACAAACCCAACUCGUGUUUCGCUUUAAUGGGCGAACAGCCCAACCCUUGGGACGUACUACCGCCCCAGGUUGCGAAAAGUCGACAUCGAGGUGCCAAACCUUCCCGUCGAUGUGAACUCUUGGGGAAGAUGAGCCUGUUAUCCCCGGAGUAACUUUUAUCUUUUGUGCGACGGCCCUUCCACAAGGUAUACCGUCGGAUCAUUAAGACCGGCUUUCGCCUCUGCUCGACUUAUCAGUCUUGCAGUCAAGCUUCCUUUUGCCUUUAUACUCAAAAACUGAUUUCCGUCCAGUUUGAGGAAACCUUUGUGAACCUCCGUUACUUUUUAGGAGGUUUUCGCCCCAAAAAAACUGCCCACCUGACACUGUCAAAUGUCCUGUUGAAAGGAAACACUUUUAGAAAUCUAGUUGUUCAAGAGUGGUCUCUCACAAAUGGCUCAAUUAAAUCCGCAAACUUAAUUUCUUAGCCUCCCACCUAAACUGCGCAAAAACAACUGGAAGCCAAUAUCAAGAUACAGUCAAGCUUCCGGGGUCUUUCUGUCUUACUAUUAGAAGUUCGCAUCUUCACGAACAUGUCUAUUUCACCGAGCCUCUCUCCGAGACAGUACUCUUUUGAUUACGCCUUUCGUGCGGGUCACAACUUACGUGACAAGGAAUUUCGCUACCUUAGGACCGUCAGAGUUACGGCCGCCGUUCACCGGGGCUUCAGUUAUUAGCAUUUAACUAAUUCCUUUAACCUUACGGCACUGGGCAGGCGUCAGCUCCCAUACAUUGUCUUACGACUUCGCGGAAACUUAUGUUUUUGAUAAACAGUUCAAAGAGUCAUUUCACUGCGACCUCUAUUUCUAGAGGUACCCCUUCUCCCGAAGUUACGGGGCUAUUUUGCCGAGUUCCUUAGAGAGAGUUCUCUCGCGCCCCUGAGUAUACUCAACUUACCUACCUGUGUUGGUUUAAGGUACAGGUUAUUUAAAUUUUAAGGUGUCCCAAACUUUUCUUGGAAGUUUGACAAAACUCUCGUNNNNNNNNNNUUUUUUUUUAACUAUAUGUUAGACAAUUCCCAUUACAACCAUUUAUAAUUUUUCAGGUGUUGCCUUCUUCGUCAUUUGUCACCAAAUUUAAACAAGUACAGGAAUAUUCGCCUGUUUUCCAUCGACUACGCCUUUCGGCCUUAUCUUAGGUCCUGACUAACCCUCUAAGGACGAACCUUGUAGAGGAAACCUUAGGCUUUCGGGGCAUUGGAUUCUCACCAAUGUUUUCGUUACUCAAGCCGACAUUCUCACUUCUGUUUGAUCCAAUCUCUUUUUCAACGAGUCUUCACCUCAAACAGAACGCUCCCCUACCGAGACUUUUAUUUUAAGUCUCUCAUAGCUUCGGCAAAUAGCUUAGUCCCGUACAUUUUCGGUGCAUCUACGCUGUUUUACCAGUGAGCUAUUACGCAUUCUUUCAAGGAUAGCUGCUUCUAAGCGCACCUUCUGGUUGUUUUUGCGUCGAAACUUCCUUUCCCACUUAGCUAUUAUUUAGGGGCCUUAGCUGAUGAUCUGGGCUGUUUCCCUUUCGACUUUGGAGCUUAUCCCCCAAAGUCUCACCAAUUCUCGGCAGAUUUUUAUUAAGUAUUUGGAGUUUGCGACAGUUAAGUACCAUUUUAUUGGCCCGUACCGAAACAGUGCUCUACCUCUUAAUAGUGCAUCGACAAUUGCUGCGCCUAAACGCAUUUCGGGGAGAACCAGCUAGCUCCGAGUUCGAUUAGCAUUUCACCGCUAACCACAACUCAUCCGUCGAUUUUUCAACAUCGGUCGGUUCGGACAUCCACGAAGUCUUACCUUAGUUUCUUCCUGGUCAUGGUUAGAUCACUCGGGUUCGGGUCUAUAACUUAUGACAUUAUUUAACGCCUUAUUUAGACUUGUUUUCACUUUGGCUACAGAAAGUUUCUUUAACCAUGCCAAAAAUUAUAAGUCGCCGGCUCAUUCUUCAACAGGCAUGCGGUCAAUAAAUACUAUCUCCCACGGAUUGAUUGCUUUAGGUUUCAUAAUCUAUUUCACUCCCCUCUAGGGGUUUUUUUUCACCUUUCCCUCACGGUACUUUUCGCUAUCAGUGACUCAAGAGUAUUUAGUCUUACGAGGUGGUCCUCGUUGAUUCACAAGGGAUUUCACGUGUCCCAAGCUACUCGGGAUGUUGUUCUUGAAGAUAGAAAACUGGACUUUCACCAUCUAUGGUGCAGGUUUCAGCUGCUUAAACUCUCUUUUUUGUUUGAACUUCCCACAACCCUGAAUUAAUCAGUUUAGACUAAUUCCGUUUCGCUCGCCGCUACUUAGGAAAUCGCGUUUGCUUUUUUUUCCUUUAGUUACUAAGAUGUUUCAGUUCACUAAGUUAUUUCUUAUUGAUUUAUGAAUUUUUUCAGUAGUGUUAAAGAUUGCUCUAUAUAGGGAACUUCUAGAUCAAUAUUUUUUUCCAACUUUCUAGAAAUUAUCGCAGGUUUACGCGCCCUUCAUCAUCUUUGAGUCCUUAGGUAUUCACCUAAAGCAUUUACU